Molecule: unclassified non-coding RNA, 402 nt
Filed under: soil metagenome
Description: partial contains 5.8S ribosomal RNA, internal transcribed spacer 2, and large subunit ribosomal RNA
Rfam family: 5.8S ribosomal RNA (bases 1-121)
Source: RNAcentral
GAUGAAGAACGUAGUGAAAUGCGAUAAGUAAUGUGAAUUGCAGAAUUCAGUGAAUCAUCGAAUCUUUGAACGCACCUUGCGCCCUUUGUCCAUUCCGAAGGGCAUGCCUGUUUGAGUAUCAUGAACACCUCAACUCUCAUGGCUCGCCAUGAUGAGCUUGGACUUUGGGGGUCUUGCUGGCCUGUGGUCGGCUCCUCUCAAAUGGAUCAGCUUGCCAGUGUUUGGUGGCAUCACAGGUGUGAUAACUAUCUGCGCUUGUGGUUUUCCAUCAGAUAACCUUCAGUGAUGGAGGUUCGCUGGAGCUCAUAAACGUCUCCCCUAAGCGGGGACAGCCCUUUGAAUGUUUGAUCUCAAAUCAGGUAGGACUACCCGCUGAACUUAAGCAUAUCAAUAAGCGGAGGA